Molecule: ribosomal RNA, 497 nt
Filed under: uncultured bacterium
Lineage: Bacteria
Description: partial 16S ribosomal RNA
Rfam family: Bacterial small subunit ribosomal RNA
Source: RNAcentral
GAUGAACGCUGGCGGCGUGCCUAAUACAUGCAAGUCGAGCGAACAGACGAGGAGCUUGCUCCUCUGACGUUAGCGGCGGACGGGUGAGUAACACGUGGAUAACCUACCUAUAAGACUGGGAUAACUUCGGGAAACCGGAGCUAAUACCGGAUAAUGUAUUGAACCGCAUGGUUCAGUAGUGAAAGACGGUUUUGCUGUCACUUAUAGAUGGAUCCGCGCCGCAUUAGCUAGUUGGUAAGGUAACGGCUUACCAAGGCAACGAUGCGUAGCCGACCUGAGAGGGUGAUCGGCCACACUGGAACUGAGACACGGUCCAGACUCCUACGGGAGGCAGCAGUAGGGAAUCUUCCGCAAUGGGCGAAAGCCUGACGGAGCAACGCCGCGUGAUUGAUGAAGGUCUUCGGAUCGUAAAACUCUGUUAUUAGGGAAGAACAAAUGUGUAAGUAACUAUGCACGUCUUGACGGUACCUAAUCAGAAAGCCACGGCUAACUACGUG